Molecule: ribosomal RNA, 533 nt
Filed under: uncultured bacterium
Lineage: Bacteria
Description: bacterial SSU rRNA
Rfam family: Bacterial small subunit ribosomal RNA
Source: RNAcentral
AAUAGAUACCCUGGUAGUCCACGCCCUAAACUAUGUCGACUGGUUGUUGGGGGAGUCUGUCCCUCAGUAACGUAGCUAACGCGUGAAGUCGACCGCCUGGGGAGUACGGUCGCAAGAUUAAAACUCAAAGGAAUUGACGGGGACCCGCACAAGCGGUGGAUUAUGUGGAUUAAUUCGAUGCAACGCGAAGAACCUUACCUACCCUUGACAUGCCAGGAACCUCGCAGAGAUGUGAGGGUGCCCGAAAGGGAACCUGGACACAGGUGCUGCAUGGCUGUCGUCAGCUCGUGUCGUGAGAUGUUGGGUUAAGUCCCGCAACGAGCGCAACCCUUGCCAUUAGUUGCUACAUUCAGUUGGGCACUCUAAUGGGACUGCCGGUGACAAACCGGAGGAAGGUGGGGAUGACGUCAAGUCCUCAUGGCCCUUAUGGGUAGGGCUUCACACGUAAUACAAUGGCGCAUACAGAGGGCUGCAAACCCGCGAGGGGGAGCCAAUCCCAAAAAGUGCGUCGUAGUCCGGAUUGUUCUCUGCAA